CAAAUUCCUACUUAUCCAGACACUCAAAUCAAUCUAAUCUAAAACCAGAGAAGUCUCAAGACAUAGGGAAUCAACUCUCAUGAAGAACUCAGAACAUAAUAUUACCAUUAUAGUGGUCAAAAUGGGCACUCAAUACAGUGAUACAUGUGGCCCGUCAUAACAGAGUCAGUUUAGGUGUUUUAGCCAUAAGUUGAGCUAUACAUAUCCAAAUUGGACACAAGAGGAUGGGUUGGAAAGCUAAGAAGUAGAGAUACAACUUUCAUGAAGGACUCAGACACCAAUGGAAAAUGAAAAGGAUAGAAAAAUAGUCCUUAAUCACACCCAAUAACACUUUUUCCUAAUUUCAGCUUACUUAAAUCAUAUACAAGGUAGAGAUUUCUACCACAUACUAAUUACUCAUCAAAUAUCAUCUUAAGAUCAUAAAUCCACAAAUAAUAACAAGAAAACUUAAGGCCUUAUUCAUCAAUAGGUUCUGCCACUCUUGGAGGAUGAAGAAGAAAAUGUUUUCCUCAUAAAUUCAACAUAUAAGCAUGCUUAGAAAUCUCCCAAGAACACAU
Molecule: long non-coding RNA, 557 nt
Filed under: Jatropha curcas
Lineage: Eukaryota; Viridiplantae; Streptophyta; Magnoliopsida; Malpighiales; Euphorbiaceae
Description: long non-coding RNA (JCUR_LNC001524)
Source: RNAcentral